This 542-nucleotide long non-coding RNA is filed under the name Gallus gallus (chicken). RNAcentral describes it as "long non-coding RNA NONGGAT001288". Lineage: Eukaryota; Metazoa; Chordata; Aves; Galliformes; Phasianidae. The record is from RNAcentral.
AUGAAUGAAGGAGCAGCAAAGCAGGAAAAUGGUUUGCAGGUGUACCGCAGCCUGGGGAACUUGGACUGAAGAAGACGAUGCAAUCCCAACCUUCUUUGGGAUUCUACAGUGCAAGACUGAACUUUUCCUAUUGUCAUGAAAUCGAUCAACACAGAGAUGUUUUAUCCAAAUUUCUCUUUUUAUGUUCCCAGUUAGGAACUAAACCUGGUUCUUUUUGUCUUCACCAAGGCACUGUAAUGUAUACAUUGAAGCACUUGGUUGGAUGCUGCUCACCAAAUUGCACAUCAGAGUCAAUAGGAUUAGGUUUUCUGGAGUGUUUAAACUCAGCUGUCAAUGGAAAGAGGUAGAUGACUAUGAAAUCCUCCAGAGGGAGUUCUUAUACAUGGAAGCCUAUGUACAUGAGUUAGGUGCACGUGACCUUUUCUGGUAGCCUUAAAUCCAUUCAUUUUUCUCAGUUUGAAUGUCUGGGAAAUCUAGGGACUGGCAGAGAAAGGGCUGCCUCGUUGCACUCAUAAGACACAGGCACAUAGCAUUUAAAUGAA